GGACGAACGCUGGCGGCGUGCUUAACACAUGCAAGUCGAACGAUGACGAUGGUGCUUGCACCGUCUGAUUAGUGGCGAACGGGUGAGUAACACGUGAGUAACCUGCCCUCCUCUUCGGGAUAACCGCCGGAAACGGUGGCUAAUACCGGAUAUGAAUGCCUGCCGCAUGGUGGGUGUUGGAAAGAUUUAUCGGUGGGGGAUGGACUCGCGGCCUAUCGGUUUGUUGGUGAGGUAAUGGCUCACCAAGGCGAUGACGGGUAGCCGGCCUGAGAGGGCGACCGGCCACACUGGGACUGAGACACGGCCCAGACUCCUACGGGAGGCAGCAGUGGGGAAUAUUGCACAAUGGGCGAAAGCCUGAUGCAAGCGACGCCGCGUGGGGGAUGACGGCCUUCGGGUUGUAAACCUCUUUCAGCAGGGAAGAAGCGAGAGUGACGGUACCUGCAGAAGAAGCGCCGGCUAACUACGUGCCAGCAGCAGC
This 481-nucleotide ribosomal RNA is filed under the name uncultured bacterium. RNAcentral's name for it is "bacterial SSU rRNA". It matches the Rfam family "Bacterial small subunit ribosomal RNA", at positions 27 to 518 of the family's 1533-position model. The record is from RNAcentral.